GGGACUACAGGGGUUUCUAAUCCCGUUUGCUCCCCUGGCUUUCGUACCUCAGCGUCAGGAACGGCCCAGAAAGUCGCUUUCGCCACUGGUGUUCCUCCCAAUAUCUACGCAUUUCACCGCUACACUGGGAAUUCCACUUUCCUCUGCCGUCCUCCAGUCACCCAGUAUCCAGGGCACUCCCAAGGUUGAGCCUUGGUCUUUAACCCCAGACUUAGAUGACCGCCUACGUACGCUUUACGCCCAAUAAUUCCGGACAACGCUCGCAUCCUACGUCUUACCGCGGCUGCUGGCACGUAGUUAGCCGAUGCUUCUUCUGUCGGUACCGUCUGCGACUCGUCCCGACUGAAAGGGCUUUACAGACCGAAAUCCUUCGUCACCCACGCGGCGUUGCUCCGUCAGG
This 400-nucleotide unclassified non-coding RNA is filed under the name uncultured fungus. RNAcentral's name for it is "sequence contains ITS1". The record is from RNAcentral. Lineage: Eukaryota; Fungi.